AACGAACGCUGGCGGCAGGCUUAACACAUGCAAGUCGAACGCCCCGCAAGGGGAGCGGCGGACGGGUGAGUAACGCGUGGGAAUCUACCGUACCCUACGGAAUAGCUCCGGGAAACUGGAAUUAAUACCGUAUACGCCCUACGGGGGAAAGAUUUAUCGGGGUAUGAUGAGCCCGCGUUGGAUUAGCUAGUUGGUGGGGUAAAGGCCUACCAAGGCGACGAUCCAUAGCUGGUCUGAGAGGAUGAUCAGCCACGUUGGGACUGAGACACGGCCCAAACUCCUACGGGAGGCAGCAGUGGGGAAUAUUGGACAAUGGGCGCAAGCCUGAUCCAGCCAUGCCGCGUGAGUGAUGAAGGUCUUAGGAUUGUAAAGCUCUUUCACCGAUGAAGAUAAUGACGGUAGUCGGAGAAGAAGCCCCGGCUAACUUCGUGCCAGCCGCCGCCGUAA
Molecule: ribosomal RNA, 447 nt
Filed under: uncultured bacterium
Lineage: Bacteria
Description: partial 16S ribosomal RNA
Rfam family: Bacterial small subunit ribosomal RNA
Source: RNAcentral